AGGAGUACAGCUCAGUGGUAGAGCAUCCAUGGAGCAGAAGGCUCCAGGUUCAAUCCCUGGUGUCCUCA
Non-coding RNA from Podarcis lilfordi (Lilford's wall lizard), 68 nucleotides. The record is from the annotation of a GenBank genome assembly. Lineage: Eukaryota; Metazoa; Chordata; Lepidosauria; Squamata; Lacertidae.